RNAcentral lists this ribosomal RNA (400 nucleotides) under uncultured Rubrobacteria bacterium. RNAcentral's name for it is "bacterial SSU rRNA". It matches the Rfam family "Bacterial small subunit ribosomal RNA", at positions 974 to 1375 of the family's 1533-position model. Lineage: Bacteria; Bacillati; Actinomycetota; Rubrobacteria. The record is from RNAcentral.
CCUGGGCUUGACAUGUGGGUGACCGCCAUGGAAACAUGGCUUCUCUUCGGAGCACCUUCACAGGUGGUGCAUGGCUGUCGUCAGCUCGUGUCGUGAGAUGUUGGGUUAAGUCCCGCAACGAGCGCAACCCCCGUCGCAUGUUGCCAGCAUUUAGUUGGGGACUCAUGCGAGACUGCCGGUGACAAACCGGAGGAAGGUGGGGAUGACGUCAAGUCAUCAUGCCCCUUAUGUUCAGGGCUACACACGUGCUACAUUGGCGCGUACAGAGGGCUGCGAUACCGCGAGGUGGAGCGAAUCCCUUAAAGCGCGUCUCGGUUCGGAUUGCAGGCUGAAACCCGCCUGCAUGAAGGUGGAGUUGCUAGUAAUCGCGGAUCAGCAUUGCCGCGGUGAAUACGUUCCC